CGUUGGCUCAUAGCAGUAGUAGUUUUCCUUUCAAAUGACUCUAAAGAACUAUCUGUCUUUGUAUCCUCAUGUGACGUACACUUCACCUACACUAUAUAAUCUGAGCUGAGCAGGUAAACUCUCACUGCUGAGCGCUGAGUCGUGAGGAAAUCGUUUGACUAGGACAACCUCACUGCUGAAGUACAAGUGUGAGACCAUGACUCCUGUAAAGUCAUGUUUCCUGCUGCUCCUCAGCGUCCUGUUCAUCGCUCCCACAGUAUCUGAGGUGGUGACAUCCAUGUCAGACUGUGAAGGGUUUCUGCUUAACAACAAACCUCCUCAGGUUCCACACGUCGUGGAGGAUGAUAAAAUACAGGACAACAACCGAUACAAAGUCAUCUGUCAGACUUACAAGGAUGAGAGGAGGUUUGUGACGCUUUAUGACACCAAGAACAGGAUCCCUGUGUUUUCUGCUUAUAAGUUCACAGGAGCAGAGACGGGAAGACCGGACGAUAACUGGAAGAUGGAGCCACAGAUACACUUGAAAACAUGAACGAUGACAAAAACAUGAGGAACCGCAGAAAUCAAGAAUACAAAAACCAGGCUACUGACACUGAUUAUUCAACAAGCACAUACAUGUAUGACAAAGGUCAUUUGUUUCCAUCUUCUUAUGCAAAGACUCUAGUUGACAAAGAGACUACAUUCACUCUGACAAACGCUGUUCCACAAGUUCCAUCUUUCAACCAAGGCAGCUGGAACAAAAUGGAGACCUCUGUCAAAUGUGUCAUGGAAAUGUUCUGUAUUAACAAUAAUGACGUCAUUGAAGCCUACGUAAUAACUGGAGCAAAGCCUAGUGACAAGACAAUUAAUAACAGGGUUAAUGUACCUUCACUGCUCUGGUCGGCGUUCU
Betta splendens (Siamese fighting fish) is the source of this 889-nucleotide long non-coding RNA. RefSeq lists it as uncharacterized. Lineage: Eukaryota; Metazoa; Chordata; Actinopteri; Anabantiformes; Osphronemidae. The record is from RefSeq and is a predicted model, not a curated record. The transcript has 3 exons.